This 1228-nucleotide long non-coding RNA is filed under the name Medicago truncatula (barrel medic). RNAcentral's name for it is "long non-coding RNA (MTRU_LNC006343)". The record is from RNAcentral. Lineage: Eukaryota; Viridiplantae; Streptophyta; Magnoliopsida; Fabales; Fabaceae.
GCAAAAUAGUCCCUCUAUUUUUCAAAUUGACAAAUCCAUUACUACGAGUAUAUCUUGAAAGCCAAAUAGAGCUUUCAUCUCUUUAUGCCGUCUUUCCCAAUUCUUGCCAUCAAGAACUGAGAAUGUAUUGGGGAGACCAUUACUAAGAGUCAUCGUUGCAACAGAUGAAGUUUAAACCCUGAAUUUUUGAGUUCUAACCACCCAUAAUCGAGCUCGUGAUACCAAUUUGUUAGAACAACUAUAGUGACAACGAUUGCUUGCACACCAAGAAAGAGGAAAACUCUACAUUAUGAGAGUAAGAUUAUAGAGUUUUUAUGAAACUUCUAUUCUAUAGAUGAGUGAAGUGAGUGCAUCAUACUACACACAAGUCUCUUUAUAGCUAAGGUGGUGUCAUGUAUCUAGAGCUGUCAAAAAUGGGCCGGGCUCAUGGGCCGGCCCAUUGGCUCAUAUUUUUGGGUCGGGCCUAAAAAACUAACCAAAAAAUGCGCUCGGGUUUUUUCGGCCCAAGCCCAUUUGGGCCAGACAAAAGUUGGGCCGGGCUUUGGGCCGGCCCAUUGGCCCAUAUUUUAUUUUAUUUUUGUUAAAAAACAACAUAUUUUUUAAAAAAAUUAUCAACUAAUUUAAAAUUUAUUAACAAAAAAAUAUUUAAAUAAAUAAACUUAAUAAAUAUGGAUGAAUUUAGCUUACAGUUUUAAAAUUUUAAAGUUUAUAAAUUAUUAAUUUGAUUUAAUUGAAAGAAUAAUCUUGAGUUUAAUUAUUAUUCAAUGUUAAUGUAAAAAUUAUUUAUAUUUUUAUGUCCAUCCAAUCAUAUUUUAGCAAAAAAAUAAUGGUGAGUAUCUAAUACAUAAGAAAAUAUAUAAAAAAAGCGAAUAAAAUUUAAAAAUAAAACAUAAACGGGCCAGGCCGGGCUGGCCCAUGGCCCACCCGGGCCGGGCUGGGCUCUAGAUUUCACGGCCCAAUCAUAAACAGGUCGGGCCGGGCUGGCCCAUUUCUAUAGUCGGGCCUCUCGGGCUUGGGCCGGGCUGGCCCAUUUGACACCUCUACAUGUAUCUCAAGUAAAUAGCUUAAAAAUACUUGAGAUUAUUGAUAUAUAUAAAUCUUCAUGUUUGUAAUUUAAAAAUCAAUAAUAUUAAUAUCCAAGAAAAAAUUUAAUCAAGUGGAGUAACAAACUAAGGAAUGAUAUGUCUUAAAACUUAAACUAGAGACUGAUGUGGGACAUAUACUUGCC